Molecule: ribosomal RNA, 460 nt
Filed under: uncultured bacterium
Lineage: Bacteria
Description: partial 16S ribosomal RNA
Rfam family: Bacterial small subunit ribosomal RNA
Source: RNAcentral
CCUACGGGAGGCAGCAGUGAGGAAUAUUGGUCAAUGGGCGUAAGCCUGAACCAGCCAAGUCGCGUGAGGGAUGACGGUUCUAUGGGUCGUAAACCUCUUUUAUAAGGGAAUAACGUGCGGGACGUGUCCCGUUUUGUGUGUACCUUAUGAAUAAGGAUCGGCUAACUCCGUGCCAGCAGCCGCGGUAAUACGGAGGAUGCGAGCGUUAUCCGGAUUUAUUGGGUUUAAAGGGUGCGUAGGCGGCACUUUAAGUGAGAGGGGAAAACCUGUGGCUCAACCUCAGAAUGGCAUGUGAAACUGGGAGGCUUGAGUAUGGUAGAGGCAGGCGGAAUGCGUGGUGUAGCGGUGAAAUGCUUAGAUAUCACGCAGAACCCCGAUUGCGAAGGCAGCCUGCCAAGCCAUGACUGACGCUGAGGCACGAAAGCGUGGGGAUCGAACAGGAUUAGAUACCCUGGUAGUC